GUGCAGCAGGCGCGAAACCUCCGCAAUACACGAAAGUGUGACGGGGCCAUCCCGAGUGCCGUCCGCUGAGGACGGCUUUUUCCCCAGUGUACACAGCUGGGGGAAUAAGGAGAGGGCAAGCCUGGUGUCAGCCGCCGCGGUAAUACCAGCUCUCCGAGUGGUGGGGACGCUUAUUGGGCCUAAAGCAUCCGUAGCCGGCUGGGCAAGUCCUCCGUUAAAUCCAACGAUUCAAUCGUUGGGCUGCGGGGGAUACUGUCCAGCUUGGGGGCGGAGAGGCCGACGGUAUUCCCGGGGUAGGGUGAAAUCCUAUAAUCCCGGGAGGACCACCAGUGGCGAAGGCUGUCGGCUAGAACGCGCCCGACGGUGAGGGGAUGAAAGCUGGGGGAGCGAACC
Molecule: ribosomal RNA, 393 nt
Filed under: uncultured microorganism
Description: bacterial SSU rRNA
Rfam family: Archaeal small subunit ribosomal RNA
Source: RNAcentral